Molecule: transfer RNA, 76 nt
Filed under: Candidatus Viadribacter manganicus
Lineage: Bacteria; Pseudomonadati; Pseudomonadota; Alphaproteobacteria; Hyphomonadales; Hyphomonadaceae
Also listed under: 6 other names
Description: Caulobacteraceae bacterium OTSz_A_272 tRNA-Ala
Rfam family: tRNA
About the family: Transfer RNA (tRNA) molecules are approximately 80 nucleotides in length. Their secondary structure includes four short double-helical elements and three loops (D, anti-codon, and T loops).
Source: RNAcentral
GGGCCCGUAGCUCAGCUGGGAGAGCGCUGCGUUCGCAAUGCAGAGGUCAGGAGUUCGAUCCUCCUCGGGUCCACCA